UCGUCCCCUCCACGCUAAGAUUCGCAGCAAGCCGGUCCACCGUUUGUUUGGGGGAGUGGCGAAAUCUGAUUGGUGUCGGCAGAUUAGAGUGAGUAAUCCCUAGUCCACCGUUUGUCUAGUCGCUCCUCCCUAGUCCCUAGUGAAAGAGUUGCGAAUGGCAAAUCGUAUAUCUCGCUGGCUUGUGGGUUGUGGCUUGCCCGUCUCUCUCGCUGAAAUAUUAAUUCACAGAUUAUGUUUUUAAUUUCAAUUUAUGUGUCAUAAUUAUAAUUAUAAUAACUUCCGAGGUCCGAGUUACACAAUAAUAAUAAUAACAAUAAUAAUAAUAAUAAUAUAGUUGCGUGACAAAAUUUGUAAAUCUGGGGAAAUGCUUAAUUAGGCAGGAAUCGGGUCAUUUAGACUCUCGUAGUCCAAAAUAUUCAAA
RNAcentral lists this long non-coding RNA (421 nucleotides) under Panax ginseng (ginseng). RNAcentral's name for it is "long non-coding RNA (PGIN_LNC009841)". The record is from RNAcentral. Lineage: Eukaryota; Viridiplantae; Streptophyta; Magnoliopsida; Apiales; Araliaceae.